AUGAACGCUGGCGGCGUGCCUAAUACAUGCAAGUCGAGCGAACAGACGAGGAGCUUGCUCCUCUGACGUUAGCGGCGGACGGGUGACUAACACGUGGAUAACCUACCUAUAAGACUGGGAUAACUUCGGGAAACCGGAGCUAAUACCGGAUAAUAUAUUGAACCGCAUGGUUCAAUAGUGAAAGACGGUUUUGCUGUCACUUAUAGAUGGAUCCGCGCCGCAUUAGCUAGUUGGUAAGGUAACGGCUUACCAAGGCAACGAUGCGUAGCCGACCUGAGAGGGUGAUCGGCCACACUGGAACUGAGACACGGUCCAGACUCCUACGGGAGGCAGCAGUAGGGAAUCUUCCGCAAAGGGCGAAAGCUUGACGGAGCAACGCCGCGUGAGUGAUGAAGGUCUUCGGAUCGUAAAACUCUGUUAUUAGGGAAGAACAAAUGUGUAAGUAACUAUGCACGUCUUGACGGUACCUAAUCAGAAAGCCACGGCUAACUACGUG
RNAcentral lists this ribosomal RNA (496 nucleotides) under uncultured bacterium. Its description in RNAcentral is "partial 16S ribosomal RNA". It matches the Rfam family "Bacterial small subunit ribosomal RNA", at positions 29 to 507 of the family's 1533-position model. The record is from RNAcentral.